GAGCACUUGGGGUUGAGAGCUUGGGCUGCUGCCCAGGCUGAGCUCCUCUCCCCAAUGGUUCCCAUCUCCCGUACAAACAUAUUUAUUGGGUUUGAUGGCAAACACAUUAUGCUUGUCCCAGGAAGGGCACUUCCAAAGAGAAAACCUUGAAGUCCGGGAAAUAAUGAUGGGGGAGUUAAAUUAAAGUGCGGAAAACCCUCCCGAGAGAUAACGUCAGGACCUCAGCAUGUGUUUGUCUAAUCAGGAGGUGAGAAGCGGCCACUGCCAUGGGAGCGUUCCCGUCGUCAGAGGAGUUUAACUGCACAAGGAACAGGCUGUAGCCACUUGAAACAUAAUCCCAUUGCGUUGAGAACUGGCCUGGGACUCCAUGAGUAACAACACUCCCUGGUGCUGUCUGCAUCUGGCAGAGGGGUUUGGUGGAAACAAACAUCCCUGCGUUAGCCCUCGUCCCCACUCCCUGCCUU
Long non-coding RNA from Mesocricetus auratus (golden hamster), 464 nucleotides. RefSeq lists it as uncharacterized. Lineage: Eukaryota; Metazoa; Chordata; Mammalia; Rodentia; Cricetidae. The record is from RefSeq and is a predicted model, not a curated record. The transcript is spliced from 2 exons.